GGUACAGCUCAAGUGGUAGAGCACAUGCUUAGCAUGCAUGAGGUCCUGGGUUCAAUCCUCAGUACC
Molecule: transfer RNA, 66 nt
Filed under: Camelus bactrianus (Bactrian camel)
Lineage: Eukaryota; Metazoa; Chordata; Mammalia; Artiodactyla; Camelidae
Also listed under: 1 other name
Rfam family: tRNA
About the family: Transfer RNA (tRNA) molecules are approximately 80 nucleotides in length. Their secondary structure includes four short double-helical elements and three loops (D, anti-codon, and T loops).
Source: Rfam by way of RNAcentral